UGGGUUGUCAUUGCUGUGUUAUUCUGACACUCCUUUCGAAUUGAGUGUGUAUAGCAAUUUCGUCAUUGUCCUCUUACAGCUUUCCUGUUUGGUGGGCUCCAUUUAUAUGUGCUGGCUUUGUCUACAUGUGCCACGUUAAUGCCUCCCGCCGCUUAGCCUAAUCACCUUAUCCCUUUCGCUUUAUCUCUGAACUAAAUCGUGACGGGAUCAGGUCAAAAAAAAAUCUUGACGGGACACAUGAGAGCGAGGGGGAGCCGGGGAGGAGGUGCAUCGCGUGUGGCUCCACCAUGUCGCCGACGAGCGUGUCGCGGGAGACUCUGCCAUUCCGACGAGCGUGAGGAAGCGCGUCGCGUCCCGGGAGGAUCCCAAGGCCGCUGCUGACAAGCGCGAUGAGGCCCGUCACGGGAGGCUCCGCUAGGACGCCUCCGAGGAGCACGAGGAGGCAAGUCGUUGCGAGGGCGGCGCCAGGCCGUAGUCGAAUCUUCCACGUACAUCUUCCCCUCCUAGGGCUAUCACGCUCCUCAUUCGCUGGCCGUCAUGCCGUGACCGAGCCAACCAUUGGGGCUCUCUUCCCCUUCCCAGGCUCCCCCAAGGUGGAUGGCCGCGAGGAGGACGAUUUCGGCGCCCUCUUCCCUCUCCCAGGGGGCCAGGGCGGUUACCGGGGCGGAGGACGUCAGCGCGGCCAUGGGAGAAGCCGGCGCGCCCAGUGCUCACGGCAUCGCAGCUGCUCUCUCCUGUGCGGAUGAAACUACUGCUGCUGGCCUAUCUUUCUGCUACCUAAACUAGAUGACAUACCAUUGAAGAUCAAAUUAUUCCUAAGUUUCCAGAUUGACCAUAAGACAUCAGCACAAGUGGAAUUUAAAACAGAUUUGGUGGAACAUCUUAAGAACUAUCAAGAGAUGGCAGAGCCUUUUCAAGGCAUCGGAUGCUGCUAAUCGCUCCUGGUAUUCCCAAGAUCCGCUUCCCAUCUCUAGGCUUACUGGCGACUAGCUGAAGUUGGGCUUCUCUGGAGCAAAAAUGCAGCCCCCGAUGCUCGGCAGCUUCGCAAGCCCCACAUCUACGCUUGACGCCGCUUCCUGGACGACUACCAUGGUUCUCCAUUAGCCUGCAGCCAUGGAGGCAGAUGAAUCUAUUGCAAAAAAAAAAGGGAAUCGCUGCAGGUGUUACUUUUGAGUUAUCUAAAACCUUUGCAAAUUUCCAUUUGGCCUGCGUGCCCCCAUAGGUUCUAGCUUUAUUCAUGCAAAAGUUUCUGAAUUUGUAGUCUUUAUCGCAUCUUGCAUCUUGCAAUCCCUGUUGACUGUACUCUGCCUUAUGUUGAGGGCUUCUUAAUUGGAGCCGGGAGGAUGACCUCCUGUUCAUCUAUACUAGAAGAUAUAUUAUACCACUUCAUGGUAUUUUCUGUACUUAGUGGACAAAAUAGAUGAGAAUUUGCUAUAGCAGUUUCCGUUUCCUGAAUAUAAUGAUCCGAGUGUAGGCCAAAAAGAGGUAUUGAAGGAUGUAUUCUUUUUCUAAAAACCACAACCACGUGUUGUUUAAUUUCAGCUUCUAAUGUGCUCAUGUGUACACAUGCCUCUCUGAUUUUGACAGUAUUAUUCCGUUUUAUCCCCUAUUCAUACAAACAUGAAUUAGUAAUUUCACCACACUUUGUUAACUGAGAUGUGCCUAUGUUAUAGUUUGUAAAUGAUAUGUGAUAUCCGGUUGUUGUUGUUGUUGCAGAAACCUGAAAGGAACUCUUCCUGGAUGAGUAGUGAUCGUCAUGGACGCAGUGUGAGUAACCUGUGCCGCUUCGCUCGCUCUCUGCUGCUGAGAUCUCUGAGGGUGCCCACCCAAUUGUGGAUGACAAAAGAAUUCUCAGGCUUUGAUACUAUUUGAUGUUGGUGCCUACCCAAUGGUAUCAUGGGUGGAGAGUGAUGAAGUUGAUGUUGGCUUCAAGAUCAUAUAAUGGUAUCUUCAAUGUGAUUCGAACAAAUGGAUGCAUGAUGCAUAAUCACAGCAAAUGGAGAGUGAUGAAGUUGAUGUUGGCUUCAAGAUCAUAUUGAUGGUGAUGUCACAAAAUUUGGCGCGCCAUGAUGCCCUUCAUUCUUUUACCAGGUGAUCUAGCGCUUGGCUGCCGGUGGAUUUGGUGGUUGCUUCAUUCCUGGAUGAUCUGGGCCUACCUGUUGGUAUGUGCGAUGGUCCGAUAUGGCAAGGUACCUCGGUCACCCACGCAUGAGCCACAGGCGGAUAGUCUCCUCUCCUGAACUUCAUGGUAAGAACGAAAAACCAAAACGCUGUAGACUGUGAGCUGGAGGAGUGCCGGCCAAAAACCAAAGAAGAAGAAAUGCAGAUCAAGCGCACCACUGAGUCAAUCAAGUCAGACUGCGACACCAACACUAAGGGAAAUGAGAGGUUUUUCGUCUCAAUGGCUCCCACUUCCUCAAGUUGGUCGAGGCUGGACCUUCAGCGACAGCAGAUGCAUCCCCUCCGUCUCUUGCCUCCCCCUCUAAAGACAACGAGAUCACCGUCUUCUCCACAAUGAGGAUGACGCGGUCAAGUGUAACCCGCUCCAGGGAGAAAAUUAUCUAACUUUCUGAAAUGCUACAGUUCACUACUAAUUGGUUAUAUGCCAUAGUACAAUAAGUAAUUCCUUUUCUAUAUUUCAUGUUGCUCUGUAUGGAUAUGACCGAUGUACUAAAGACUACCUCAUCUUAUUGUCUUUCUGUUGCCCCUAAUCUCACUUCAGCUAAUAAUAAGUGAUGGUCUAUAUAUUUUCAGCUUUUUUUUUGCUUUGUUUGCUAAUGCAUCACAGUUAGUUUUCAAAUUCAGAAGAGAGAAUUUCAAACUGGUUCAUAUAAUAGCAGACAUAUAAAAGAAAAUUUUCUUUUAGUAGUGCAGUAGCUUAUUUUUUGACAAGGCGUAAUGGCAUUUUUAUUUUGUUGUUAUAUCCAAAUGGUAUAUGAGUUCGAAGCUAAAAUGUUAGUUGCAAUCAGCACGGUGAUGCUCGGUAAAUUUCCUAAUUGUGUAUGUUGAUUCUCCUUUUGGCAAACAACAGGGAGCAGCUCGGUUGUUGAAGUUGAUUGUUUUAUUAAGUUGUAAUCGUUUUUGCAGAAGAGACCAUUCUGGGCAUACUAUUAUAUACUUUGCAGUGUAGGGACUUUUAAAAAGAAUACAUGUUUAAGAAGAAACGAAAAUAACAGCAUUAUCUAGGAGAUUCUGCUUCUUUCAUCCUAGAAUGAUGCAGGGUUUCAUGCCAUUACAUCUGAUAUUUUGGUUGCUUCUGUGAGUAAAGAGAUCUACUUGGAUUAUACUACAGAGUACAUUUUUUUCUCUCAGAGAUUGAAUUUUCCUUACUAAUCCAUUUUAAUUUGCAGAUUCUCACUCACUGGUUCAUGAAAGUAGAAAGAGAAUGUAAACCGUAUCCACUUUUUCUUGGAUCAUUUGGGAUUGCUGAAUGGAAAAUACAUUCAAGGCACGAAAUCUAUGAGAAUCAUGACAAGUAAUUCUACCGAAAAGGAUUUCUCGGAAGUCCUAUCUGGCGAUUUGUAUUGAAUUGAGUUGAUUUAAACUAGAACUGAGAAACAAGUUAUCUUUGAAAAAAUGGUUAUUUCUUGCUCAAGGUUACCUAAAUAGUUGAACAGUUUUGAGUUUAUUAUAGUAAAUUGUUUUAAAACCUACCAUUGAUGAUGCAAGUUUCAACUGGACCAUAUCAGCUUAUUAUAGACGUGCUUGCACUUGGAAUGCGAGUUGGAACUGAAGGACAACUGCAGUUACUCAAUGAGAUGCUGACUAUAGUCUCCAAGCACUAUUUCUUGGAUCAUUUGGGAUUGCUGAAUGGAAAAUACAUUCAAGGCACGAAAUCUAUGAGAAUCAUGACAAGUAAUUCUACCGAAAAGGAUUUCUCGGAAGUCCUAUCUGGCGAUUUGUAUUGAAUUGAGUUGAUUUAAACUAGAACUGAGAAACAAGUUAUCUUUGAAAAAAAUGGUUAUUUCUUGCUCAAGGUUACCUAAAUAGUUGAACAGUUUUGAGUUUAUUAUAGUAAAUUGUUUUAAAACCUACCAUUGAUGAUGCAAGUUUCAACUGGACCAUAUCAGCUUAUUAUAGGAGUUGGAACUGAAGGACAACUGCAGUUACUCAAUGAGAUGCUGACUAUAGUCUCCAAGCAACAUAUUUGUUUUCAGUUGUUGCUCUCCUAGCUGGAAUCUCUAGAGAUGCUCACUGGAAUCUACAAUUUCUGUGGACACAUAGAAGACUCAAAUUGCCCCAGCUUGGAAGCUACCUCCUGAAGGUUUUAUAAAGGUUAACACCGAUGCUUCCUUCAUUUUUGAAUCUGGGGUUGGUAGCACUGCAGUGGUCACGCGGGAUCACCUUGGCAGCAUCAUCUUCUCUGCAGCCUGUCCGACGAGAGACUGUAACGGGCUGAAGAAGUAGAAGUUGAGGUUGUGCGUGCGUCUCAGCGUGAACUUUGGCUGCAGAGCAUUGUAAUGGGAUCUAACUGCUAAUCAAUUCCAGGCUGCGUAACCUCUCUGCCUCAUUUCUGAUUGUUGCCGUCAAUUUUCUAUAUAAACUUAUGAAAAAAAAUCCGAAAUGGGGAGCUUGGCCCUGGCCUAGAUAGAUUUCUGAAUAAUUGAACAGCCUCAUGUCGUGUGCAUUUCCAUUGAGAAAGAGUAGAAGACAUACUGAAGUUUUUUCAUAACAUGGUAUUUUCAUUAUUUCUG
This is a non-coding RNA of Lolium perenne, 4694 nucleotides long. The record is from RefSeq and is a predicted model, not a curated record. Lineage: Eukaryota; Viridiplantae; Streptophyta; Magnoliopsida; Poales; Poaceae.